This 688-nucleotide ribosomal RNA is filed under the name uncultured bacterium. RNAcentral describes it as "bacterial SSU rRNA". It matches the Rfam family "Bacterial small subunit ribosomal RNA", at positions 8 to 714 of the family's 1533-position model. The record is from RNAcentral.
AGAGUUUGAUCAUGGCUCAGGACGAACGCUGGCGGCAUGCCUAACACAUGCAAGUCGAACGAGAAAGUUCCUUCGGGAGCAAUUAAAGUGGCGCACGGGUGAGUAACGCGUAGACAAUCUGCCCUUCAGUCUGGGACAACUUUUCGAAAGGAGAGCUAAUACCGGAUAACAAUGCAUGACACAAGUUGUAUAUUUGAAAGCUUUAUGUGCUGAAGGAGGGGUCUGCGUCCCAUUAGCUAGUUGGUAAGGUAAAGGCUUACCAAGGCAACGAUGGGUAGCGGGUUUGAGAGGACGAUCCGCCACACUGGAACUGAGACACGGUCCAGACUCCUACGGGAGGCAGCAGUGGGGAAUAUUGCACAAUGGAGGAAACUCUGAUGCAGCAAUGUCGCGUGAGUGAAGAAGGCCCUUGGGUCGUAAAGCUCUUUUAUGGGGGAAGAUGAUGACGGUACCCCAAGAAUAAGCACCGGCUAACUAUGUGCCAGCAGCCGCGGUAAUACAUAGGGUGCGAGCGUUGUUCGGAAUUACUGGGCGUAAAGGGCGCGCAGGCGGAAUAGUAAGUCGGAGGUGAAAGCCCGGGGCUCAACCCCGGAGGGUCUUUCGAAACUACUAAUCUAGAGAGGGUCAGGGGCCGGCAGAAUUCCCGGUGUAGAGGUGAAAUUCGUAGAUAUCAGGAGGAAUACCGGUG